RNAcentral lists this ribosomal RNA (1131 nucleotides) under Staphylococcus aureus. RNAcentral's name for it is "partial 23S ribosomal RNA". It matches the Rfam family "Bacterial large subunit ribosomal RNA", at positions 231 to 1366 of the family's 2925-position model. Lineage: Bacteria; Bacillati; Bacillota; Bacilli; Caryophanales; Staphylococcaceae. The record is from RNAcentral.
UCGAUUCCCUUAGUAGCGGCGAGCGAAACGGGAAGAGCCCAAACCAACAAGCUUGCUUGUUGGGGUUGUAGGACACUCUAUACGGAGUUACAAAGGACGACAUUAGACGAAUCAUCUGGAAAGAUGAAUCAAAGAAGGUAAUAAUCCUGUAGUCGAAAAUGUUGUCUCUCUUGAGUGGAUCCUGAGUACGACGGAGCACGUGAAAUUCCGUCGGAAUCUGGGAGGACCAUCUCCUAAGGCUAAAUACUCUCUAGUGACCGAUAGUGAACCAGUACCGUGAGGGAAAGGUGAAAAGCACCCCGGAAGGGGAGUGAAAUAGAACCUGAAACCGUGUGCUUACAAGUAGUCAGAGCCCGUUAAUGGGUGAUGGCGUGCCUUUUGUAGAAUGAACCGGCGAGUUACGAUUUGAUGCAAGGUUAAGCAGUAAAUGUGGAGCCGUAGCGAAAGCGAGUCUGAAUAGGGCGUUUAGUAUUUGGUCGUAGACCCGAAACCAGGUGAUCUACCCUUGGUCAGGUUGAAGUUCAGGUAACACUGAAUGGAGGACCGAACCGACUUACGUUGAAAAGUGAGCGGAUGAACUGAGGGUAGCGGAGAAAUUCCAAUCGAACCUGGAGAUAGCUGGUUCUCUCCGAAAUAGCUUUAGGGCUAGCCUCAAGUGAUGAUUAUUGGAGGUAGAGCACUGUUUGGACGAGGGGCCCCUCUCGGGUUACCGAAUUCAGACAAACUCCGAAUGCCAAUUAAUUUAACUUGGGAGUCAGAACAUGGGUGAUAAGGUCCGUGUUCGAAAGGGAAACAGCCCAGACCACCAGCUAAGGUCCCAAAAUAUAUGUUAAGUGGAAAAGGAUGUGGCGUUGCCCAGACAACUAGGAUGUUGGCUUAGAAGCAGCCAUCAUUUAAAGAGUGCGUAAUAGCUCACUAGUCGAGUGACACUGCGCCGAAAAUGUACCGGGGCUAAACAUAUUACCGAAGCUGUGGAUUGUCCUUUGGACAAUGGUAGGAGAGCGUUCUAAGGGCGUUGAAGCAUGAUCGUAAGGACAUGUGGAGCGCUUAGAAGUGAGAAUGCCGGUGUGAGUAGCGAAAGACGGGUGAGAAUCCCGUCCACCGAUUGACUAAGGUUUCCAGAGGAAGGCU